This 110-nucleotide microRNA precursor is filed under the name Procavia capensis (Cape rock hyrax). RNAcentral's name for it is "microRNA 223 (ENSPCAG00000019193.1)". It matches the Rfam family "mir-223 microRNA precursor family". The record is from RNAcentral. Lineage: Eukaryota; Metazoa; Chordata; Mammalia; Hyracoidea; Procaviidae.
CCUGGCCUCCUGCAGUGCUAUGCUACGUGUAUUUGAUAAGCUGAGUUGGACACUUCAUGUUGUACAGUGUCAGUUUGUCAAAUACUCUAAGUACAGCACAUGCCUAGCAG